This is a long non-coding RNA of Passer domesticus (house sparrow), 5753 nucleotides long. RefSeq lists it as uncharacterized. NCBI's taxonomy places the organism in Eukaryota, Metazoa, Chordata, Aves, Passeriformes, Passeridae. The transcript is spliced from 2 exons. The record is from RefSeq and is a predicted model, not a curated record.
UUUCUAGGUUACUUCACCAUUUGCAGCACCUAAAGUCAGAGAGAAACGAAAGCUUGGGAUUUAAAUUCCACGGCCUGUUACAGUCUGUCUAAAUUACUGCAGAUCAAAACCCUAUGUACCCUCUAUGAAUUACACUGGAAAUGAGCAAAACCUGUGAUUGCCUUGCCUAAAAAUUUAAGGUGAUGCCUGUAACAGUUUCACAGAAUUUCUGCUCAGGCUAAGCAUACUUAAAGCAAAAUUAUGCACCUGGUACUCCUACAGCUCAGGCCCAGCAGGCCCCUUGAACAGAGCCCUUUUAGGAACUUUGUGAUAAUCUCAGGAGUGUGCUGCUUCUUUUUCCAGAGAAAAAGAGCAUUAUGCCAGGUCCUCAGCACAAAAAAAAAAAAAAAAAAAAAAAGACAGAAUUAAGUUCCCUGUGGGUCCUACAGGACAAGCUGCCCAUUGCUGUCAGCUGGGGCUUGGGCAGGUCAGGAUCUGACAGAAUUAACAGUUUACAGCUGAGCAAGGAUAGGCAGGACCCUGCAAUGUGUUCUUGUGCUCCUCAAGGUAAAGAAUUCACAGCAGCUCAUCUUCUUAUUGCACUUGGGGAAUUAGGAUGGAUGUGCACUUUUGAAAGCUCUGUCAGCCAGACAUUGUCCAGUGAAUGCCUGUAUCCACAUUUAUCCUGAAAUUUCCAGUAAGAGCACCUGGCUUCAUUCCUCUCAGAAACCUGCAACCGGUGUUUCCAUCAGCAGCUCAGCCCCUGAGGUCCUGUAAACUGGAGGCCACAUCCCUCCUUCAGGUGAGAGAAAUCAAAAUCCGGGGAACAAGCUCUGCUAACACCCAGCUCUCACCAGCACCAGCUUGUGAACUCUGCUGCACAGGCUCACCAGAGCUAAACAGAGCUCAACGCCAUCUGCUCCAUGGCUUGCUUGAGUCCCCCUAUAGUGUUAUUAAGUUAUUCUCUAGUUACUUAUAUAAAAUUUAAGUACCAUAUGUAGUGGUGAAAAGACAGAAAAUAACAGCUGAUAGCUAUUGGCACUAUGAAGAGCUACUGGUACCAAGAGAAGUGCUGGAAAAAUUUUUAAGCUCAAAGCCAGAGUGGGUAUGAAGAGCCUAGGAAAUACCCUCUGAAUGCUGGAGAAAUCAAGUAUUUUUGCAGUAAAGUACUGUGCCUGUUCAAGCCUGAUCCAAUUUAUAUUGCAAUAUUUAACUCCUUGUGGACUUUGAUGCCUUUCUGGAAGCUGUGCUUUCAUCAGCUGUUACUGAGCUUGCUCCGGGCCUAUGUGAAAUGGGAGGAUGUGUUUGGAGUGCAGGACAAACUGGGUGAUGCCACUGUGUCCUCUGGCCAUCAUCUACUGCUUCCACAGCUUAAAUUCUUGACUAGGAUGAAUGGAUAAAAUAGGUGAAAACUGUACAGAUUUUUAAUAGGAAAAAUAUGUAGUGAAAGUUUCAUAAAAAUACAUGCCUUUAAGAAUGUUCAGGUAGUUUUCUCUCAUGAAUAUUGCUUUAGAUAGCUGAGGUGAGGUUUUGUAGGAUGUGGGGGUUGCCUUUUUUACAUUUCUGUCUACUUUAAAGAAAGAAACAAACCCUUUCAUCGGUGUUCCUAUGAUCAUUGUUUUCACCCUAAGAGAGUGAAAGCUGCUCACCACCCCUCCUUACAAAGCUACUGCUACAAACCAGCUGUUAAAACAUUUUCUGACCUACCUCUAUCUCUGGCAUAAAAGCAGCACAUUAAAAACCAAACAUUAUGGAUUCCCUGAAGAAUAUGACCUUCUGGAGUUUAGCAUUUAGACUUUUUUGUAUGGUCCUCCAAAUCUGUUGUCAUGCUGUAGAGAUCCUGAGAUAGUUUGCUGUUUUUUGCUUGCACCCAAGGUCUUCUUUGCUAUUGAAGUUUCUGAAGCAUCUCCUCCUCAGUCAGAACUACUUAAUUCCUGGAAGAUUGUGACAGCUUCCUGCCCUUUCCCAAGAGAAGCUAUUCUUCCUUAAUUAUGCUGAAGUUGCCAAUGCUAAAUUAGGUACCUACAAGCAAGAGAGUGUCUGAAUCCACCCUCCGACUCUUGUCUUCCCUAGGAAUGUGCUGCAAAUACUAACACCUGUGAAAAGGUACUGGGAAAUGGGAAAAAUUUUUCUUCUCCUCCCUUGCUGUCAAAUCUGUAGAGCAGAGACAGAAAGGCCUGGCCACUGCAGCGACCAGUAUUUUCAAGAAUUUUGUUUUCAUAUACUAGUGAAUACUUCCCUCUGCAGGAAGCUUUAAGCUGACAGCAGUCACAGCCUCUGGCAGUGUAAAAAAAAUGCUCAAAGCCUGGAGCAGGAUCUUACAGAAGAUAUUUGUGUUCUUAUAAUUCUUGAAAUUUCACCCACCUUCAAGCAGUACCUAAGAUUUUUUUUUUUCUAUUCCCAUGAGCAGCUAUUUGUAUUCUAAAAUUCUAGAAAUUCAACCUUAUUUGACAGCGGUUGCACUGUUAAAUCCUUUUCCAUGGUAGUUGUGCAGCAUCCCUAUCUUUGGAAAAGGCUUGUGCCAUCUGGGUCCCAAAUGGCUGCUACCAUACCUCAUAGCAGGUGCCAUCCCAGUGGCUUGAGCACUCCUUUCACGGCAGGAUGGGCCUGGCUCCUGAGAAGGCUAAGGGUUACUGAUGCAGUCUUUGAUUCAGCCAUUUAACCCCUUCUGUCUCUUAAAGUUAGCCACAGACAGCUUGGAACGAUUUCUGCCAUGGGGGCUCCUCGUUAGUAGGGUGAACAACUCUGGUAGAGAAAGGAGCUCUCCAUGACUGCUUUAAGCCCUUCCUUUGCCUGCCUGUUUGGGGCCUGUCCAGCCUGUAAAUGCAGCAAAGCUGUGUUUAAGACUGCUGGAUCAUUACCUGUUUUCUUUCCCCUGGUCUAACAUGGACACUAAACAGUAUGAAGAGAUGAUAAACUGAUCAUUCUUUGUUAUACAUGGCAAUUGCUGUCAAUAAAUUUGCGAAAGAGAGGACUUAGAACAACUGACUUCUUGGGGAUGGCUUUUUGCACAUUCAAGAAUGUGCACUAACCCAGAAUCUUCCAGGUGAAAAUUAUUAAAUUUUAAAAUUUAAUAUUUUUAAAUUUCCAUUUAUUUACUAACUCUUGUUCAUUGUUAUCUAGGAUGCUAACUUUGGUUCCCCCAUCCCAGACAAGAUAGUAAUAAUGUUAGAGGGAGAAGGAAUUUAAAAAAAGGGCAAAUAGAAUAAAAUGGUAACUGUAAGAAUAACGACCUCCUUUCCUUAUUUAGGGCAAGUUUUUUGAUGUAGUGGGUGUAGCUCAAUGUAACAACUUUGCUUCACCAGUCAGUGACCUCUACUUUCAGAGGGCCUUUUAGUUUCUACACCAGUUACAGAACAGGGUCAUACACCAAUUUACUUUUUACAUUAUACAAAAGUAUGCAAAAAAAAAAAAAAAAGGCAACACUGUGUUCUGUCACAACCUUUUCAGAAGAAAUACAUGGUGGUUUAUUUUCCAGAGGAUAAUAAGCUCCAGUGAGAUUUUUAUAAACAUGAAAAAUAUGUUUGCUAUUUUGCACACUGAUUAGAGAUUUCUAAUGAUGUAUUCUAUAUAAACUUCAAAAAGCCUGAAUUACAGCAACUGUGUGCUACUGCUGCUUCAGCUGCUUAUUCCUUACACCACUGUUCUUAGCUGUAGAACAAAGACAAAUUCUGCCUGAGGGUUGUAUUUGGCUGGCAUCAACCUAAUACUCAUUACACUCAAAUGCUUGAUAAUGGUUCAGUACGGUCACACAUGUUGGCAAUAUUGAAAAUAGCUGCCAAGAGAAAUGCUCAUGUUAAUAAUAAUGGGAUUCGCUAGUUUGUAGCAAAACUGUUUGCGUUUUUUUUUUGCCUCAGUUGGAAAUCUGAUCAAGAAGGAUGUUACACACCUGAAAAAUGCAAUCCCCUGACUUUCUACAGUACUGGGCAGGACCUCCUUCUGUCAACUGAGAUACUUUUGUUUGCAUCUCUUCCUCUGGUAUUCACUCUACUGUUAUGCAAUCUUUGUGCACCUUGGUCCAUAGCUCCCUUCAUUAGCUAACAAUACCAAUUUUACCUCGGUUUGCUGGGUCCAGAUUUCCAUCAGAAAUGCAAAAACCUAAGUCUUCAUCAAGACACUUGAAAAAUAAAAUUGAACUUAUUUCAGUAGUCUGUAGACUAGAAUUCUCAGGCUGCCAGGAAAAUCCUUUAAAUUACCAAUCCUGUGUCUUAUCAGCCUUAUACUGUAUCAUUCUACUUCAAACUGAUUUUUGUCUUGGCCUUAGGAGCCACUUGGUUUAAACGCGGAUUAAACAAGUUCCCUGUUCCCUUUCCUCAUAAGUGUUUUAGGAAAUCCUAACCUUUUAACAACUUUCACUUGCAAUAACAGUUAAUCAACUAACUUGCCUUCCAAGAAUUACUUUUCUUUUUUAAGUCUUCACUCAGCCCCUUAAUCACUGAGUUUUGUUCAGCAGAGCACUGGAGCUCUGGCCAAAGCUUGUUAUUACAGAAAGAAAGUGAAUCCUGCAAAGUAAGUUUGUGAAAGUACCAUGUCUAAAAUAAUAAUUUAUUUUUCUUUUACACACACCAAGUAUGAACAGCAUAAAUUUAAUAUAAAUGUUAAUUCGUGUACAGAAGUCAAACACAUUAUUUCAACAUUAGAAAUUGCAACAUGUAAAAGAAUUAUUAUGUAGCUAAUAUCAAAUGCAAAUAAAAUGAAACUGCUGUAACUGCACCUAAAUUAACAGCAAAAGGACAAUUUAAUAUGGUGAUGAAAUACACUGAACCAAAAUACAUAGUGGACCACAACAGUUGAUUGCUUUUAAGAAAAAAAUUUCAACUUGAAGUCUUUCCAUUGCAUUGUUUUCUGUCUACAUAAUAUUCCUUUCUGACAAACAAUUUUCAGAUACAACAGCUUACAAACGAUACUUGCAUAGAUAAGGCCCUUAGACAUUUUAACCACCUGGUCCAUUCCUUGUCAAUUGAACUGAAACGAUGUAUAAAAUUCCAAAAAGAAGUCUGGUCUACAGUAUUAGUUUCAGAUUGUUAAGAAGGUUAAAAAAAGGUUGGUUUAUUUUGUCAUUCAAUAAAUAAAGCACUUGACUGAGAAAUGCCAAAUAGUCACAAUAAAAAUAAAGAUGGCUCACUCAAAAUGAAUUACACGUAUCUGAUUUUAAAAAUCAAAAACUAUUUUCAGUUUAAUGCUAAACAAUGUUUUUUAAGAAGAACACGGCCUGAUUAGAAAGUGAGCAAGCUGCUGUUCCACAUGGCUACCACAGGCAAGCACAGGUGCUGGUUUCAAGGGACAGCCUGGAUAAAAGUAAGGCCUUUAUGAAUAUUAAAGCACACGUUUGUCCCAACAGGGAGGUGCUAACAACAGGAAACACAACCUAGGGAGCUGUACAUUAAAGCACAUGUAAUCUGUAUCUGUCAAGAUUUUUUUUGCCUGUUUUUGUCUCCAAGAAUUAACUAAGGUAUUGAACCUCAAUUUGUUUUGUGUUAUGACUACAGCAAUGUAGCCUGGUGGUACAUUAAUGUAGAGUCCUUCAAAAUACCAGUUUUCCAUUUGUGCACUGCUAGAUCAGAAGCAAAAAUUUUAUUGGACAUGUUCUUCCUGUAAAAUUUUGCAUCAAGUUAAUGGAAGCAAACUUGCAGAUGGUACUUAAGUCUCAUAUUAUGCAUGUUUAUGAUUGCUAGAAUGGUGUUCAUUGUUUUGUUGGUGGGAUUUCUUAACAUUUGUUUAAGAUUUAUUACAUACAAUAGACGCUGAAAAAAUUCUGUGUGAAAAUACAAGAA